UAGGCGGAAGCCAGUCGGUUUUGGCGCUUAGCUGUUAACUAAGAUUGUUGUGGGAUCGAGGCCCACCCGCUUAG
This 74-nucleotide transfer RNA is filed under the name Dendrocygna javanica (lesser whistling duck). RNAcentral's name for it is "tRNA-Asn". Lineage: Eukaryota; Metazoa; Chordata; Aves; Anseriformes; Anatidae. The record is from RNAcentral.